AGCCGGCACCAAGCAGCAAAGGAAGGCAAGACGAGCAGGUCGUCGACAGUAGUACUGAAGGCUUCCGCUAGUCGAGCCGGCCGGCGUCUCUUCCCUCUUUCCCACUGGAGCGUGCGGAGGUGCGAGCCUCCUCCUUGGCGAUUCCUCCUCGCAUCAUCAUAUCCCGCGCGGGUCACCUCAGCGUUCACGCAACCGCCGGCAUUUUCCUUCCCCGAAGAUGAUACCUGGCAAACGCACAACCGCAGCCAUGCCCGCCCCGGUGGUGGCGAUAUUUGGAGCCCUAAUGCUGCGCACCGUCUCCUCGCAAAACGCGGGCUUUGUGAAAUCACCACUCUCUGAAACCAAGCUCACGGGAGACACCUUUGAGCUAUUCUGUGACGUAGUGGGAAACCCCACCCCUGAAAUCCAGUGGUGGUACUCUGAGAUCAACCGAGCAGAUUCCUUCAGGCAGCUGUGGGACGGCGCCCGCAAGCGCCGGGUGUCCAUCAGCGCGGUGUACGGUGUCAAUGCGGUUAGUGUGCUGGGAGUAUCCUAUCUCACACUGGACGAUAUCGGGACGUACGAGUGCAGAGCAAGCAACGACCCAAGACGGAACGACCUGCACAUAAAUCCCGCCACCACCUGGGUCAGAGCACAGGCUACAAUAACAGUGCUGCAGAAGCCAUCUAUUGCUGCUUCUGAGCACACUUCCCUUCCCGUGGAAGGCCACAGUCUCCCUUUCACUCUGCAGUGCAACCUGACCAGCAGCGACAAUACCCUCCUGGAAAGCUACUGGAUGAAAAAUGGGGAGGAGAUCCCAGAAACACGCAGUCCAAAUAGGAACACCGAAUACAAGCUGAAUAAACCGAGAGGAGAUGAUGCUGGCGUGUACAUGUGCGUCUUCACCUUUGGAAUGUCUCCUGCUGCCAACACCACCAUUGAAGUUAAAGCUGCUCCUGAGAUUACGGGCCACAAGCGUAGCGAGAAUAAGAAUGAAGGCCAGCGUGCUUUGCUCUACUGUAAAUCUGUGGGCUUCCCUCAUCCCGUCUGGACCUGGCGCAAACUUGAGAACGGCAUAUAUAGGGAAAUUGACAACUCAUCCGGACGCUUCUCCAUCAGCAGCAAGGACAAUUACACUGAGCUCAGCAUCACCGAUCUGGACAUUAAUUUGGACCCGGGCGAGUACCAGUGUAACGCCACCAAUUUGAUUGGCAGCAGUGACGAGAGGUCUGUGCUUCGAGUCCGCAGCCAUUUGGCCCCAUUGUGGCCUCUCUUGGGGGUGUUGGCUGAGAUCAUCAUCCUGAUCGUCAUCAUCGUUGUUUAUGAGAAGCGUAAGAAGCCUGAGGAUUUACAAGACGGUGAGUCACCAACAAAUAGCAAAUAGAGCUCCAAUUUAUUGUGCAACUAUUUUAAAUACAAGGAGGAGAAUUGGAUUGUCAUGGAAGAAGAACAGAAUGAGCAUGAAAAAGCACAGAUUAUUUUUACGAAUACAACAAUAACAAAUACACCAAGAGGCUAUUUGAUCAUGGGUUUUAGAUGGAUUUGUGGGCUGAAUUUGUACAGAAUCUGAUUAACAUCAAUAAAAUGUGAGUGACGUAGAAAGCAGCAGUGCAUCAGCAUUAGGCAGGAAGAUGGUGUGCGGUUUAGUCCCGACACCAGGAGACUGUUGGACUGGAAACCCUCCAUUCUCCAAGUUUGUUCCGCUUACCUAUCCCCGGUGAUGGUAAUAAUGUAUGGCGAUGCAGAGCAGAUGGCGCGCCGCGCAGCCGUGCAGGAAAUCGGGAUGCUUGCCACCACACGCGCACGCACUUGUCGAGGCAAGCGCGCCAGUGUGGCCUGCGCCCUGCAGUCGCUACAAACCGUCGACGCGUUCUUCCGAUAUUCCCUCACCACAGACACCAACACGGCAACACCUGACACAGGUUGCACCUUGUCAGGACAAUUUCAUGCAUUUAAUAUUCAUGAGAAAUGGGAUACCGCAGUGUUGUGGAGAUGGACGUUCUCAAUGAUUCAUAGUGUUUCACGGACCUUCCGCGCUCCAAGCUGCCGGAGGCUCAACCAAAUAGCAACAUGGGACUUUCGAAUGCUACAGAGCCCUUCAUUCUCCUGCGUGCAUUCAUGGUAUUUUGUCGACCUGUUACUUUCCAACUGAAAACGUUGACAUUGCCACAUCUUGCCAUAUGUACGAGUGAUUCAUCUGUGACUUACUGUCACCGAAUGUGAUCAUAUUUUCAUAAAGGUUCAUUAGCUAAAAUGAAACUGACCGAGUAUUAAAAUAGUUUCUUUUUACAUUUCUGUCAUCCAUCCAUCCAUCCAUUUUCUCAGCCGCUUGCUUCUCCUCACUAGGGUCGCGGGCGUGCCGGAGCCUAUCCCAGCUGUCAUCGGGCAGGAGGCGGGGUACACCCCGAACUGGUUGCCAGCCAAUCGCAGGGCACAUUUCCGUAAUAGAAAUCCAAUUAACAUUGCUCGCGUGAGGCAGAAAUCAGAGUUUGUGCAUGAAUUGUUAAUCAUUCAUGUUGCAAUUGCAUUGCCUUAAAUUAGGUCAGCUUCCUCUGCUGAAUAUUUAAUUGUUAUAAUAUCUUCCUAUUCCCCUUUUCCCAAUGGCCCAACCUAACGCUGUUUGUGAUGAUGACCCAGUUGGACCAGUGAAAACCAAUUCAACCAACAACCACAAAGACAAGAACCUGCGCCAGAGGAAUACAAAUUGAGCU
Phycodurus eques (leafy seadragon) is the source of this 2690-nucleotide RNA transcript. It is a transcript of the gene named neuroplastin-like, with no coding region annotated. NCBI's taxonomy places the organism in Eukaryota, Metazoa, Chordata, Actinopteri, Syngnathiformes, Syngnathidae. The transcript is spliced from 8 exons. The record is from RefSeq and is a predicted model, not a curated record.